UCAGUUCUACUGUGCCUUGAGAGGGAGUC
RNAcentral lists this non-coding RNA (29 nucleotides) under Mus musculus (house mouse). The record is from RNAcentral. Lineage: Eukaryota; Metazoa; Chordata; Mammalia; Rodentia; Muridae.